GUGGAGGAAUGCCCUGAUUUUGAAAUACACAUAACAAUGUGUGAUGAUGAUCCGCCCACACCUGAGGAAGACUCAAAAACGCAGUCUGAUGAGGAAGAAGAAUAAGUUUCUCCACCAGAAGUGGGAGCUGCCAUUAAGAUCAUCCAGCAGUUAAUGGAAAAGUUUAACUCGGAUCUGUCAACAGUUACGCAGGCCUUCCUAAAACAUAGUGGUGAGCUGGAGGCUACUACUUCCUUUUUAGAGUCUGGUCACAGGGCUGAUGGGUAUCCCAUUUGGUCCCAACAGGAUGACUUAGAUUUGCAAAAACAUG
Molecule: long non-coding RNA, 310 nt
Organism: Myotis brandtii (Brandt's bat)
Lineage: Eukaryota; Metazoa; Chordata; Mammalia; Chiroptera; Vespertilionidae
Exons: 3
Source: RefSeq, a predicted model, not a curated record